Molecule: RNase P RNA, 393 nt
Filed under: Roseovarius aestuarii
Lineage: Bacteria; Pseudomonadati; Pseudomonadota; Alphaproteobacteria; Rhodobacterales; Roseobacteraceae
Description: Bacterial RNase P class A
Rfam family: Bacterial RNase P class A
About the family: Ribonuclease P (RNase P) is a ubiquitous endoribonuclease, found in archaea, bacteria and eukarya as well as chloroplasts and mitochondria.
Source: Rfam by way of RNAcentral
GCGGAGGGCCGGAUGGCUGCGGGCCUGGCAACAGGCGCGAGGAAAGUCCGGACUCCACAAGGCAACGGUGCCGGGUAAUACCCGGCCGGGGUAACCCGAGGGAAAGCGCCACAGAAAUGAGACCGCCCUCGUUUGAGGGUAAGGGUGAAACGGUGGGGUAAGAGCCCACCGCGCGGCUGGCAACAGCAGCGGCACGGCAAGCCCCACCGGGAGCAAUGCCAAAUAGGGACCGCAAGCGGGGUUUGGUCGGGCAACCGAUACCACCCGCAGGCAGCUUUGGCCCGGCGGUCCGGGUUGGCAGCUAGAGGUGCUUUGGCAACAGGGCAUCAAGAUGAAUGGUCAUCCAUGGGGGCAACCCCGGGACAGAAUCCGGCUUACAGGCCCUCCGCGCAC